This 298-nucleotide ribosomal RNA is filed under the name uncultured bacterium. RNAcentral's name for it is "partial 16S ribosomal RNA". It matches the Rfam family "Bacterial small subunit ribosomal RNA", at positions 337 to 646 of the family's 1533-position model. The record is from RNAcentral.
GCCUACGGGAGGCAGCAGUCGAGAAUCAUUCACAAUGGGGGAAACCCUGAUGGUGCGACGACGCGUGGGGGAAUGAAGGUCUUCGGAUUGUAAAACCCUGUCAUGUGGGAGCAAAUUAAAAAGAUAGUACCACAAGAGGAAGAGACGGCUAACUCUGUGACAGCAGCCGCGGUAAUAAAGAGGUAUCAAGCGUUGUUCGGAAUCACUGGGCGUAAAGCGUGCGUAGGCUGUUUCGUAAGUAGUGUGUGAAAGGCGCGGGCUCAACCCGCGGACGGCACAUGAUACUGCGGGAGUAGAG